This 468-nucleotide ribosomal RNA is filed under the name uncultured bacterium. RNAcentral describes it as "partial 16S ribosomal RNA". It matches the Rfam family "Bacterial small subunit ribosomal RNA", at positions 28 to 507 of the family's 1533-position model. The record is from RNAcentral.
GACGAACGCUGGCGGCGUGCCUAACACAUGCAAGUCGAACGGAAAGGCCCUGCUCUUGUGGGUCGCUCGUGUGGCGAACGGGUGAGUAUAACGUGUGUAAAACGUCCCUGACUUUGGGAUAACAUCAGGAAAAAGGGGCUAAUAUACGAUAGGAGCUCUUGCAGCAUGGUGGGCGUUGGUAAGAUCCGGCGGUUGUGGAUGGACUGGAGGGUUAUCAGCUUGUUGGUGGGGUAGUGGCUUACCAAGGCUAUGAAGGGUAGCCGACCUGGGAGGGCGGCCGGCCACAUUAGGACUGCGAUACGGACCAGACUCCAACGGGAGGCAACGGUGGAGAGUAUUACACAAUGAGCGGAAGCCAGAUGCGGCAACGCCGCGUGCGGGAUGACGGCCUUCGAGUUGUGAACCACUGUCGCCUGUAACGAGGCGUGAGUGACGGUAAUGGGUCAAGAAGCACCGGCUAACUACGUG